Molecule: ribosomal RNA, 504 nt
Filed under: uncultured bacterium
Lineage: Bacteria
Description: bacterial SSU rRNA
Rfam family: Bacterial small subunit ribosomal RNA
Source: RNAcentral
AGCUAUUAGAGUUUGAUCCUGGCUCAGGACGAACGCUGGCGGCGUGCUUAACACAUGCAAGUCGAGCGGUAAGGCCCUUCGGGGUACACGAGCGGCGAACGGGUGAGUAACACGUGGGUGACCUGCCCCCUACUCUGGGAUAAGCCUGGGAAACUGGGUCUAAUACCGGAUAUGACUACAUGUCGCAUGGUGUGUGGUGGAAAGUUUUUCGGUGGGGGAUGGGCCCGCGGCCUAUCAGCUUGUUGGUGGGGUGAUGGCCUACCAAGGCGACGACGGGUAGCCGGCCUGAGAGGGCGACCGGCCACACUGGGACUGAGACACGGCCCAGACUCCUACGGGAGGCAGCAGUGGGGAAUAUUGCGCAAUGGGCGGAAGCCUGACGCAGCGACGCCGCGUGGGGGAUGACGGCCUUCGGGUUGUAAACCUCUUUCGGCCCCGACGAAGCGUGAGUGACGGUAGGGGUAGAAGAAGCACCGGCCAACUACGUGCCAGCAGCCGCGGUAG